CGUGUGACGGCACAGUGAGAAAGUAGUCAUCUAAAAGCCAGGAAGAGAGGCCUCUCCUGAAACCAACUCUGCCAGCACCUUCAUCUUGGACUUCCAGCAUCCUGAAUGGUGAGAAAAUGGGGUCUGGUUCUGUUGCCCAAGCUGGAGUGCAGUGGGACAAUCUCAGCUCACUGCAAACUCCACCUCCCAGGCUCAAGCAACCCUCCCACCUCAGCCUCCUGAGUAGCUGGGACUACAGGCACGUACCAUCAUACUAGCGAGUUUUUUGUAGAAAAUAUUUAUCUUAACUCAUUACAAUAAAUCCUAUUGCCCUCUUCUUCAGGAAUUACUAUUUUCUCUUAAGAACUGCUUAAACAUAGAGGGGAUGCCAAUGGUAAUUGGAUUUGUCAAAAAUUCAAUUCUGUUUCCAUACUGCUUACCCUAUAAUUAAACAAUUGAAACCAUUUUGUAAUUAGGACUCUUUUGAAUUUAUUCUGCAUUUUUCCUAG
Molecule: long non-coding RNA, 488 nt
Filed under: Homo sapiens (human)
Lineage: Eukaryota; Metazoa; Chordata; Mammalia; Primates; Hominidae
Description: HSALNT0146532
Source: RNAcentral